Molecule: long non-coding RNA, 148 nt
Organism: Sebastes umbrosus (honeycomb rockfish)
Lineage: Eukaryota; Metazoa; Chordata; Actinopteri; Perciformes; Sebastidae
Exons: 3
Source: RefSeq, a predicted model, not a curated record
GUCCAGCAACUCGUGUCAAUAUCCGCUCGUUAAAUGCAUGCAUGUCUUUUCAAAAUAAACUUCCGACUUCACAGAAAAGUACUAAGUUAGGUUUAGGCAACAAACCUAGUUAGUUAGGUUUAGGAAAAGAUCGAUUUUGUUAGGUUUA